Molecule: ribosomal RNA, 506 nt
Filed under: uncultured bacterium
Lineage: Bacteria
Description: partial 16S ribosomal RNA
Rfam family: Bacterial small subunit ribosomal RNA
Source: RNAcentral
AGUGAACGCUGGCGGUAGGCCUGACACAUGCAAGUCGAACGGCAGCACGGGAGAGCUUGCUCUCUGGGUGGCGAGUGGCGGACGGGUGAGGAACACAUCGGAAUCUACUCUGUCGUGGGGGAUAACGUAGGGAAACUUACGCUAAUACCGCAUACGACCUACGGGUGAAAGCAGGGGACCUUCGGGCCUUGCGCGAUUGAAUGAGCCGAUGUCGGAUUAGCUAGUUGGCGGGGUAAAGGCCCACCAAGGCGACGAUCCGUAGCUGGUCUGAGAGGAUGAUCAGCCACACUGGAACUGAGACACGGUCCAGACUCCUACGGGAGGCAGCAGUGGGGAAUAUUGGACAAUGGGCGCAGGCCUGAUCCAGCCAUACCGCGUGGGUGAAGAGGGCCUUCGGGUUGUAAAGCCCUUUUGUUGGGAAAGAAAUCCAGCUGGCUAAUACCCGGUUGGGAUGACGGUACCCAAAGAAUAAGCACCGGCUAACUUCGUGCCAGCCGCCGCGGUAA